RNAcentral lists this long non-coding RNA (855 nucleotides) under Capsella rubella. RNAcentral's name for it is "long non-coding RNA (CRUB_LNC005077)". Lineage: Eukaryota; Viridiplantae; Streptophyta; Magnoliopsida; Brassicales; Brassicaceae. The record is from RNAcentral.
UGCUGUCAUUUUUAUUUCCUCUUAUCUCGUUUGUCUAUUUUUUUUAUUUCACUUCAUUUGGUUUCGAUCUACAAUACAAUCGAGUACUAUUUCAAAACUAACAAAUCUACACUUACCGAAAUCAAAUUCUGCUUUAGUUCCUUUAUUGGUCAGUUUGAAGAUCGAUUUGAAUCUAGAUUCUUGAAGUUUUAUCUACCGUUUGAAGCAGCUGAUUGGGUAUAAUUUCUCGUACGACGAUUCCGAUCCACACAAUCAAGCAAAUAUAUUGAGGUAAAACAUUUUCCAACUACUCUUAAAUUUGGAUAUGUAAUCUUUGAGAUCAGAUUUGAAAUAUAAUAUUUGGAGCAAUUGUAUGUGUCUGCGGGCUUAUUUUUUCUAGUCCUCGUUUUUCCUGAACCGAGAUGGUUUUAUUUUCUUGACGACAACAUACGUAAUUGGUUACUUCAUCCAAAUUAGUGUGUCAGGUUUACGGAAUGAGUCAAGUGUUUGUCAACAAAUUGAUUAUAUAGAUCUUGAAAAUUACCAUAUCUAGAUAUUGUGACUUUUUGUUGCUCCAAGUUUUAUAAGAUUUGUUCACCGUUGCAUCUGCUUUAAAUGGAUUAUUGAAUGUUUUAUUUCUUAUGCGUUCAUAUUACAAUAGAGUAAGCUUUAGUAUCUGAUGGAUUUUAAUUUUACUUAUGUAUCUCGAUUACAUAAAUACAGUACUGGGGAUAGUUUCUAUCGCUAUGAUUAUGAGGUUGUUGAUUCUAUGAAAGUAGCUUAAGAGCUAUUUGAAUCAUUGUUUAACUGGUUUGGUUCUAUGUUGUAUUGCAGUUGCUGCAAAACAAAAUGCUCAGUUCAAUGGAUGAUGGUGNN